GGAUUGUGGCUCAGUGGUAAAGCACUUGCCUACCAUGCAUGAGGCACUGAGUUCAAUCCUCAGCACCA
RNAcentral lists this transfer RNA (68 nucleotides) under Marmota monax (woodchuck). RNAcentral's name for it is "tRNA.Gly". The stretch from base 5 to 65 matches the Rfam family "tRNA", at positions 6 to 65 of the family's 71-position model. Rfam says of the family: Transfer RNA (tRNA) molecules are approximately 80 nucleotides in length. Lineage: Eukaryota; Metazoa; Chordata; Mammalia; Rodentia; Sciuridae. The record is from RNAcentral.